GACGAACGCUGGCGGCGUGCUUAACACAUGCAAGUCGAGCGAUGAAGUUCCUUCGGGAACGGAUUAGCGGCGGACGGGUGAGUAACACGUGGGUAACCUGCCUCAUAGAGGGGGAUAGCCUUUCGAAAGGAAGAUUAAUACCCCAUAAGAUUGUAGUACCGCAUGGUAUAGCAAUUAAAGGAGUAAUCCGCUAUGAGAUGGACCCGCGUCGCAUUAGCUAGUUGGUGAGGUAACGGCUCACCAAGGCGACGAUGCGUAGCCGACCUGAGAGGGUGAUCGGCCACAUUGGGACUGAGACACGGCCCAGACUCCUACGGGAGGCAGCAGUGGGGAAUAUUGCACAAUGGGGGAAACCCUGAUGCAGCAACGCCGCGUGAGUGAUGACGGUCUUCGGAUUGUAAAACUCUGUCUUCAGGGACGAUAAUGACGGUACCUGAGGAGGAAGCCACGGCUAACUACGUGCCAGCCGCCGCGGUAA
This 478-nucleotide ribosomal RNA is filed under the name uncultured bacterium. RNAcentral's name for it is "partial 16S ribosomal RNA". It matches the Rfam family "Bacterial small subunit ribosomal RNA", at positions 28 to 523 of the family's 1533-position model. The record is from RNAcentral.